CUCUGGCUGUCCCCCACUCCCUGAAGCCGGGACAGAACACAGAGAUCCGCUCCUGGCUGGCCUGUGUUGCUGGAAAACAUGUGGCACGGCAGAGAGAAUGAAUGCUUUGAGAGUUCUUCUGCACAUUUCCUAUUAUUAAUGUAAAUUUUUUCUUUUUUUUUCUGACUUUGAAGUUUGAUUUCAAAGCAUUUCUGGAAAAAUUCCAUUUAGGAAUUGUAUCAUUAAUGUUUUGGAUUAAUCAAAAAGCCGUGAUCUUAGUAUCAUUUGAAAUGAAGGCGUUUAGUCAGUUCCACAAAGGAAGAAGUUGUCUUAUCGCUAAUUGCGAUCUGUUCUGUUACUUACAAAACUGAAGGUCGCAGUGACCAUCCUAGUAAACCUAAUUGGUUUUGAGGGUCCAGGUCCAACUUGUGUUCCAGUAUUUAUAUCAUUUUGCAAAGCUGAUAAGAAUUUUAUGAGCCAAGAACCCAAUACAUUCCUGUAGAUGGCUUCAAUCUGUAAGAUCAACAUUUUGUGUAAAUUCAGCUCUCCUGCCAUGAGCACUGAUAGCAAAAGUUUGUAUGUUCAGAGGGUGCAGCCAGAGAAACAGAACCAGAGGACUAUGAAUGCCCCAAGCCCUUUAUUAUACUCUCUAUUUAGAGUUAAUAUGAUGUUAAUGAAAUUCCAGUUUAAAGGACUGUUGAACAACUGUUGUCCUUGAUGUGUGCCUUAAGUAACACACAUAAAUAUGCUUCCAAAAUGGAAUUGGGAUCCUUCAUUCCCACUGAAGGCCUGAUCUGCAUUAGGAGGAAGCAGCAGACCACAUUUUUUUUGUGGGACCUUUGACUGAUAGCAGAGCAAAUAACAGGAAGAAAAGCACAGCUUGAUCUUUUAGUGCAAAGAAAUAUGCCAUGGUAUGAACCUGAUUGCUGGAAAACAUUUACCUCCCUACCCUCCCUGCUGCCCUGAAGUGAGCAAAUUUGAUAUGUAUGGAGGUAUGUGUUUUUCACAGUUGCACAGAAGACAGACAUAUCUAGUGCUCUUUUAUCUUGAACAUCUUCCUCAGUUUUGACCCUCACUGUGAUAAAUGCCAAGAAUUUAUAAUGCUGUGGAAAGGAAAAGUGAUUAUUUUCAUUCAAGAUUUAAUAAUUCCUCAUCAGAAGGUGAGAGUUAGGAUGACUGACUAGAAAACAAUUUUAUGGUGCAGGAGAACUCUAGGAAGUCUGAGUACUGUGAUCAAGCUGUCAAUGUCCCUGUUCAUUGCAGCAGAGUUAGACCAGAUGACCUCUAGAGAUCCCUUCCAACUCAAAUGAUUCAAUGAUUCUGUGAAGUAAUUGUCUUAGCUGGUAACCAUUUGUAGCAUAUUUACUAACUGUUUGAAUACUGCCUAGCAGUAGAAAACUACAGUAACCAGACACUGUUUGUAUAUCUUUUCCUUUCUUUGACAUUAAUCUAAAUACUGGUGGUCAUGUCCCUAGCAUAAUCUCUACUGCAGAUGCAAGUGGACAAAUGCCAGGGGCUAAAGAAACCAAUGGGUUUUUUUCAAGUGUCUGUAAGCCAUAAGAUUGUGGCAGAAAUGCUAAGAACAAACUGCCUUCAGACUCCAGGAGGAUGAUGCACUGAACACCCCUCUGAGAGAUACAGCUUGAAAGAGGUGCAGAAGGUCUAUCUGUUCCAAAUAAACGAGACCAGGGAUGAACUUGCAUAAUUAUGAUUUUUUGCCAAGUUAUUUAACAAUGUCUGUAGCACACACUAAUGAGACCCAGGAAUAGGCAUACCAGCUGAACUGUAGCAGAUGAAAUUGAGAAAAGAUUGUACAUGCCACUGCUGUGAAGUAGGCACAUGAUGUCUACUCUGGUAAUGAGAAACAUGAGCAGGAGUUACCUUUAAAUGUCUGGUACUGCGGUUCUGCUUCUGAAGCUAAGGAUUUAUAGAACAGCAGCUUUGCAUGGCUGAAUAUCCUGGUUUUGAAGAGUCAUUUUUCUGGUUAUGUUUUCACAUUUGAAUCUGGAGAUGAUCUGUGACUGUAGUAAGUGGAUCAGAAGUCAGAUUUAAAUUCUGCUCUCACCUCUGCCGUUGGGCACCUUCUUUUAUUGUACAAUCUUUUGUUACAGUUGUAUGCUUUUGAAGUGGAGUUGGUUUCACAAUAGAGUGCUGGUUGGAUUUGGGUAGCCUUUCUUUUCAUUGUGCUGAACAGCAGCAUGGUCUCCAGGUUUGGUGGAAUUGGUAUGGCAAACUGAACUCUCUUAGAGUAGCCACAAGCUGAAAAGUUGUUGUGCAGAAAAGAAAAAGAAUAUACGUUAAGGGGAGUCUCUGCUUAGUUCCUCUUACAGUGUUUGAGAUCUACUGUGUUUAUUUUGUAAUUAUCUGUUUGUAGUCACAACUGUAGUAGUGCAAGAUGUACCUGGGUUUUGUUUCUUAAUCUCCAUUCCCUUAUUCGCAUGCGUCAAUAGUAAUAAGGAGUUAGCAUUUAGAGCUUGGCUGACGAUUUUGUUUGAUGGGACAAGGAACAAUGGAAUCCAGGUCACGCUUACAUAGCAGUGCUGGGUCACCAGCUCUGAUUGGUACAGAGACUAGCUGCUGUUACUGGUGUUGGAAGUCAUACAAAGAGCUGAUGUUUGAGUAGUUUGCCAUUUUUCAUGGUGUUAUUUUUAUGUGUUUAGGUGCAUGUAAGUGAAACAAAGGCUUUGUGACAAAUGAAGUCUCUAUGAAAUGUGUAUGUACACUUGUGUAUGAGUUUAUUUAUGAAAUUAAAAUAUUAUUAACUAACCAUUCUUUUCUUUAUGCUGUGUUAGCUUAUCAGUAAAAAUACAAAGCUUGUUGUAGAAGCAGAAGGAAAAACGAAGGUGAGGUUUUAUGGCUAGGAUUAGUGCUCUUUUAAAAUUUCGCUUCUCUUUUUAAGGUACUGCUCUUAAAACACCUUAUGGCCACUGGGAGAUGAAAUUCAGAUGCUCUUUUUCUGCCCAGUGACCUUGAGGUAGCUGCUGUCCACAGCUCUGUGGACACCUUGCCCUUCUCCCCUCCUGUGCUCCUGUCUGCGCCCAUUUGACAAAGACAAAUGAAGCAGGAGUAUGGCAUAUUUUAAAGAAGUAAACUAGACUUGCUCAAGGGAUUUUAAAAAAUACAUCCAUGUUUUGUAAACAUAAGACAUGUUUGGCAAAUUGUAACUCUUGCAUGAUUUAGCAGAUGGAUGUGCUGUUGCCAGAGUUGGUAACAAAAAUGCAGUGAAUCCAGAACAAUGAAGAGGGUGGCAAAAAUCUUUGCAUAUUAAUUUGUAUUAAUUUGAACUUGAUCUUUUUUUAAAGAUUUUUUUAAUUUAUAGUUGUUGAAGAAUUGUGAGCUUUCUGUACACAAUUCAGUGAGAGUGGAACUUAUAUGUGAAAUUUCUAAAACUUGCAGAAUGGCAAAAUCCAACAUCCAUCUGUAACAUCCAAUGUCCCAGCCCUCUGCUGUGAAAACUAGUGCAUCAGCAUUUCUUCUAGUCCUUGAAAGGGGAGGUACAGUUGCAAAAACAGAAAAAUGCUGACGCCUUUUGUAUGAAGAAAAUAAAUAAUAGUGAAAAGUGUAUGUCAGUUAAAAAAAAAAAAAAUGUCACUUCAUAUGUAUGUGACUCUGCACACAUACUGUGACAUCUGCUUUAAGGAACUAGCACUGCAGGGAGGCAGUCACUUCUGCUCACUACUAUUUGAAAUAUCCUUGGUAUUUGCAUCUCUGUGUAGAAUUGUCCCCUUCAGGGAAUCCACUUUGCUUGCCCCUGAGUUGGAGAUUUCCCUCUUCUUGUGUGGCUUACGUUUUAAAUUUCAAGUACCUCUCCUGCAUUACAAAUCAUACAUUUGUAAAGUUACAAAGUGGAUUAUAAGUAUUUGGUCUGUAAAUUUAGCAUAGCAUCUGCAUAAAGAAAAUAACAACUAAGGUUUGUUUUGCAGUUUUUACAUAGAAGGGAACAAAAGUUGAUUUCCUUUUCUAUAUUAUCUAAUUCCAUCUACUGUUCAUCACAAUUAUUACCAGAAGACAUGACAGUUAUGGUUUCUCAGGGAGAAAAAAAUAUUUGAAAUGUCACUGAAGUGGAUAUUAAUACUUAGUAAUUGAUCCAUGUUUGUGGCUUAGAUUUUCACAGCUAUUGUAAUUUAUGUACAUAGUCCAGUAGUUCAGUGGAGUUUAGAAUUACCGAGCUUACCUGCCUGCAUCUGUGAGUAUGCACAAGAGAAAAGGCAAGGAUGUGCUUGCGUAUUUAGCAAAGCAAAAUCCCUAUUAUAUGCUCUCAUGUGUAUCAAUUCCUUUUGAGAAGAAUGCAGUGUAUGAUAGGACAAAAUACUCUCUAUUACUGUAGUCACCAUUGCCAUUGACUGAGAAAGGGAUAAAGUGGCGGUAUGCAACAGCUGACAAAUAUUAGCUGUUGCUCACUGGAAUCACAUAAUCUAGAAUGUGGAACUGAAUAUGUGCCUGUGCAUUUAAUUGCUGGGAUUGUCAAAGAAAAGUAGGUGAUUGAUAAGGAUGGUACAAAGAAGGUCAGAAGAGCAAUGUGCACAAUUCGAUGUACAGAGAACCGCACUCUCUGCCAAUCAUUACUUCAUCCCCUCUCAGUGAGGGCAUAGUCAAAAGACAGCACCAAUUAAUUUCAACUCUGAACUUGACCUGAGUGAAUGAUUUUGGGAUGGACUCCUGUAAACUCUGUGUGUCUGCAUGUAUCCUGAAGCUGGUGAACACUGCAUGUGUUUGAGGGAAGAUGGGGAAGACACAGUGCACAUGGGAAUAGUGUUUUCCAAAUGGCUAAAGGAUCUACUUGGCAAGGAUGCUUAAUUUUCUUUUCAACCUGUUGAGCAGAUGAGACCAGGGAGAAUGAAUAAAGUAGAGCUACAAAGAAAUACUAUGACCCCUGCUUGAAUAAUUAUGCUGUAUUUUGUGUCUCUUUUCUGAUUCAAGGUACAACAACCGAAUAUUAGAAAAACCUAGCAAGGCAAAUGUUUUUGUACCAUGGAAGUAACUGUGCUUCCAAAAAAACAUGGCAUUUUUUAGUCCUGAGGUAGUCACCUACCAAUGUCCGUCAUGCUUUUAGGGCUUAGCAGUUCCCCAGAAAGCUGUCUGAGUUUUAGGAGGUGAAUGUAUGUGACAUCUGAAAGCAUCAUACUGAAGUAUUUUGAUCUUGUUCUUUGUAAUGUGCUAGCAUUAUUGCAGUGUAUGGAAAGAUGUUGGAGGAGAAAGCAAAGACACACCCUUGUUUGCAAUUCCUUUAAUUGCUAUUAAGGUUGAUCGGCAUUUGUGGAGGAGGCAGCAUCACCCUCCUCAGAACAGUUCUUCUGGGCACUGCACAGGCCUUGGUGCUUUGGUAAUCUAGCAAGCAGCCUAGUUCCAUUUGCAGUCUCAUCCUCCUCCAGAUGCAAAGUAUGUUUUAAAAUUUAGAUGAAUACAAGAAAUCAAAGUUCUUAAUGGGGUGCAUCUGCACUGGCACUGUACGGGCUACAAGUAAAUGAUGACUUGGAAAUCACUAGUCAAAUAAAGUUUUCUGUUUUCCAAACACAAUCCUGUACAUAAGAGCUUGUUUAGAAACAGUUCCCUCCAGGAAGAGGCUUUAUUCCUUUCCUAGAGGAAAAGCGCAGUAAUCCCUACACAAAGCACUUACGUAAAAUGAAGUCUUUACUAGAAAGCGGGUUCCUGCCAACACAAAUGACCUUAAGCUUGUGUAAAUUGCUCUCUAUUUCUGCCUGCGGCGAUCCAGGCUUCCUUCCCUGAUCCUCACAAAUGACACUCUGCUCAUCAGUUAUGCGUCUGGAGCUACUUCAUUUCUAAUCCUAGCCCUCUUUCUAUCCAGCUAGCAGAAAUGGCCUCUGCAUAUGACAUGAGUUAACAGACUUAAUCUAGCAAUUAAAUACACAUUAAGAGAUGCAUUUCUUGUGUGAUGCAAGGGUCAUUAAACCAGCUUAAUUGGUGUCCUGCUGUAGGAGUGUGUACUUUUAGUUAUUGGCAGAGAAUGAGCAUUGGGCGUUGCUUUGUGUGAAUUUCAGUUUCAGAAAUGGAGUUGAAAAGACACCUGCUUUGUACUUGUUACUGUGGGGCUGUGAUUUGACAAGGAAAAAAGUGUUCUCCGCUUGCCAUCAAGUCAAUUCCUUUACUAUGCACACAGUUUUUUUUAAGAAAGGAUGGCAUUUUCAAAGUCAGUGGAGUGUUUUAAAACACCCUUAUGUGAGGCUUGGGGAUGAGGUCUGUCAAGCUUUAGUACUUCUUGUGCUCACUCCCCUGAAUGGGUCCUUGGAAGGUAGCAUGGAUCUCAAGCUCAUGAGCACAAGGACAAAGGAGAAGAAUAUGUGUUUUUUUUUCUCUUAAUAGAUCAAUGGACUUGAUGAUCUUUGUAAGUCCCUUCCAACUGAACAGUUCUAAAUAAUUUCUUAAGCUGAAACAUGAGAGAUUCUGAUGAUAUAUCAGGAUCAUUUCCCUUUUAUUUUUCAGCAAGAGCAUGACCAAAUAGUGGAAGAGGAUCUCAGGGAGUUUUUACAGUCUCCAUCCUUGGAGAUAAUCAAGAAUAAUUAGACAAGGCACUAAAUAACCUGCACUAACUGGGCUGGUUUUGGGCAGGCGUUGGACUAGGUGACCUCUGGAGGUCCUUUCCUGCCUAAAUUAUUUGGGUGAUUCUAUGAAGUUUACUUAGAGUAGAGCCAAGCUUUUGUGGCAGCAAGACGAGGAAAACAAACAGCUCAGGGCCUGAGGUGGUAAAGACUUUGAUGCAUAUUUCACAAGUUGUGAGCAAGACUUCAGCUGGUAAUUAGCUUAUCCAGUGUGCUGCUUGUACUGUAUGUAUGUUAUAUAGGAAAAUGAUACCUUGAAAGUACCUGCACAAAGAGACAGACAUCACAUAGGUCGUUCCACCAGUCAUGUUAUGCAUCUGAGCUGACCUUUGCCUUUUUGGACCAAAGCCUGACUCCAUCAGUCAUAUUACACCUGAUUCAGUGUAACAUUACCAAACACAGGCUUUGCCCUGCCAGCCUUUGAGUACUGAUUUCUCAGCAGUAACUGUGCUAUCAUUCUCACUAUAAAGAGCUAUGCAUGUUCGUAGCAUUCCGUGGUGUUGCUCACUUGUAGUGUUUCAGCACUGGUUGAUGGUGGGCUCUGGCACCUCAUCCUGUCUGCUGACUAGGAGCAAUGUGCAUGCCAGGCAGCCAGUUGGAAACUCUUCCUUCCAUGUCAGGAGGACAUCUAUAGUGGUCUGAGAGAGCUUCACAAAAAUUGAAUGCAGCGACACAGCUGCCAAGUCAUGUGGUAGGUUCAAGAGGUGGUAGUGAUGGAGAGUUUCUGUUUGCAGGAUUGUGAUCUGUGGCAUCUUUCAAAUGACGGAGAUGCAAUUCCAGUAAUUCAGGGAUGUACUGACACACAAACUGUUCGUACUGUUCUCCUUCAUUUUAUUUCCAGAAUUCUUGAAUGUAAUUAUAGCUUCCCAGCAUGUUGUUCCCUGCUGUUUGUUCUUUAUGCAAACUGUAUAUGUCAUCACGGUCUAGAGCUAUUUUUGGCACAGCAUUAAUCUUUCUGUAAUGUGACCCUGCCCUGUCCUGUUUCCUCUCUGAAAGUUGAUGAGGAGCUUGUUGGCUUUGUGCUUCGAAGCGCUGACUCCAGCUCUCUGAACACACAGGAGUGUGAGGGUUACGUGGGGAUUUCUGGCGACCUGCUGGGCCUCAGUCAUUCUGUUUAUGGUGGAGAGGCUGAACAUCUCCAGGCCGCGUAAUUGGUCUGACAGCCACUUCCACAGUGUCUGCGUAUCACAAAGAAAAGUGCUGUCAAACAGCACUGCCAUAAGGGAUAUUAAUGACAAAGUUCGGAUGAAUGGGGCUUUGGAUAUGUGUAGUCUGAUGACUAAGGAGAGGCUGUGAUGCGUAUGCAUUUGUAAUGCCUUUGCAUGGACUGAAGUGGAGUGCUCUUUUGGCAGUGUGUCAGCAGUGAAGCAGUAUCCAUGUUGCAGUGAGGGCUGAAUGCUGACAACUGUGUGUGCUCCAAAACUCAGGACCAAUGGCAAUGAGCAGACAUGUGAGUGAGUACCUGAGAAGAGAUCAGGAUCUGUGCUGUGAGACAUCAGGUCGUGCAAUCUGUAAUACAUUCUGUUGGCCAACAUGUCAAGAAAGUCUUUAGUUCACAUCUGGAUUGAGGAUAGGUAGAAAGCAAAGGAUAAAGGCCCAACUUGAGCUAUCAUUUGAAAUCUCGUAAUGUAGUGCAGCUGUCUCUAGUUUCAUGUAGAGAGGGGUAAAAACAACAAACUCCAAUUUUUAAUGCACACGUGGCUAGGCUUGAAGUCUGCGGUUGCAACCCAGGGAUUAGAAUUUACACCUUCUUUAAAAAUGCAGAUUUGAGUUAAUGCUUUAUUUAUAAAGUUUCUCUAGAAAGUCCUUUCAUACAUGUUUUGGAAUUUUUGUUGGCAUUUUUUUCAUGGUUGAAAUAACAGUGUUUUCUGGGAAUUUGUUUCAGGGAGGGUGGUGGUGGUUAACAUUUAAAUAUAUACAGUGCUUAUCACCGCUCCUCUUCUGUUUUGACUUAGAUUGCACAUACCUUACCAUGUUAAUCUAAGGUUGUUCCCAUCAUUCCUGUUAAGAUUUAACUUAGUUAAAACCGUUCUUGUUUUAACAGAGAUCAUUCACUAAUAAUGAUUAACAUACCUCUAGCAAAGCUUAAGUGCAUCAAAUACCAGUGGUUACCUCCAUGAGACUGCAAAUUUAAAACAGUUUCAAGGGUGAAGUCUUAAAAGAAAAAGAGAAAGCAUAUGAUAAUGCACAUUGCAGAAAUGUCUUUGCACUACUAUGUUACUUUUUUCUUCUGAAGUUAGUGUAAUCUAGAGUCUGUUUUUCAAACUUCUCAAAAGUCAAAGGGAAGGAUAUCAGCUUGCAAUACAACCCUUUAUAUGAACAAGGGAAGGUAUAUAGAACAUUCCAGUAAGGAAGGAUUUGAAGAAGUCUUGAGUAGCUAAAUCCAGAGGAUUCAGAAGUAAUACAGGCUUUCUUUAUGCAUUAUUCUGUUUUUUAUCUAUUUCUUUUAUUUUCAGGGAAGGACUCCUAAGUUACUGUAAUGUAACUUUACACUCUAUGGAAAGAUUUAAGAAAGUCUUAUUGCAUGUACAACUUGUGAUAUUGUUCUUUGCCCCCAUCUUCUUACUUUUAGUAUGCCUGAUAAUCAGCCUGGAAUGCUACUACAGAUGUAGCAAAAAAAAAAAAAAAAAAAAAAAAAAAAAAGAAAAGAAAAAAAGAAAAAAAA
Molecule: long non-coding RNA, 9201 nt
Organism: Numida meleagris (helmeted guineafowl)
Lineage: Eukaryota; Metazoa; Chordata; Aves; Galliformes; Numididae
Exons: 2
Source: RefSeq, a predicted model, not a curated record